This 329-nucleotide unclassified non-coding RNA is filed under the name soil metagenome. Its description in RNAcentral is "partial contains 5.8S ribosomal RNA, internal transcribed spacer 2, and large subunit ribosomal RNA". The stretch from base 1 to 120 matches the Rfam family "5.8S ribosomal RNA", at positions 35 to 154 of the family's 154-position model. The record is from RNAcentral.
GAUGAAGAACGUAGCGAAAUGCGAUAAGUACUGUGAAUUGCAGAAUUCAGUGAAUCAUCGAAUCUUUGAACGCACAUUGCGCCCCUUGGUAUUCCGAGGGGCAUGCCUGUUCGAGCGUCAUUAUAACCCCUCAAGCUCAGCUUGGUGUUGGGGCCUGCUGCACUGGCAGCCCUUAAAAUCAGUGGCGGCGCCAUCUGGCUCUAAGCGUAGUAAUUCUUCUCGCUAUGGAGUCCUGGUGGAUGCUUGCCAUCAACCCCCAAUUUUUCUAUGGUUGACCUCGGAUCAGGUAGGGAUACCCGCUGAACUUAAGCAUAUCAAUAAGCGGAGGA